UGCCCUGGCUCCCCAGGGUUUGGCGCUGAAAGUGUUUGCGUUUUAAUCGGCUCUGUUUUUAAAUGAUCGUACCUUAUAGCAACGGUAGCGCUACUGCUGUUUGUCUGGGGUUAUACUCUCUCACGGUUUUUGGUGUUUUGCAGAGAGCAAAACUGCCCAUCUGAGUUAUACCGGGUCUUCUGCUAGUGUUAAGGUGGCUUAAUUUUCAGCUACACAGUGGAAAGGAAAUGGAUUUUCACUGAGAAAGUGUUUUCAGACAGCAGCCCAUCUGUAACUCUUAGGACUUGGAUUCAUAAUUAUUUGUUUAACUAUAACAUUUCAGUGUCACGACUAUAAGUUUAUUUGGAUUCCCAGGGAUCAAUGGCAGAUGCUGCUUUAAUACGUGUGGUCUGCUAUGUUAUGCAGCCUUGUAGGAGUUCCGAUCUUCCUUGAGCCCAGCUCAUCCCUAGACAGAGGGGACAGGCAGUGCCCUUGGGCCGCUAGUCUGAGCUUUCAUCCCAGGACGAGGUCUGCCUCAGUGAUCACUGCUAAGUACUGUUCUGAUGGCAUCAAAAGAACUAUAGAAGAUGUGUCCUGGAAGAUAGGUCAGACCUAGAGAUCAGACCAUCAGCUGCUGGGCAUGAAACGCCUCCCUCCUCUGUAAGUUCACGCUCUGCCUUUUGAACACCUCCCCCCCCCCCCAGUAGCAGUUAUCUAUUUGGGGCAGCUGACUAGGUGUACCUGGAGAGAAAGGUAAGGUAGGGAACUUGAUGUAACACAUGUAGAAACAUCUCGAAGGAGGACAAGGACCACUGAGCCCAGAGAGUUGGUCCUAGAGAGGGAAGUCUGUGUUCUUUAUAUCUUUCAGAAAGGUGGGUAGGCAGAGAAGAGGAGGGGGAAGAGACAGCACUUAAAGCUGGAGAAAGCACAUAAAUUGACGAGAGAAGCAAGAGUGAAGAUGGUCACCCACUCCUAGGCCUUAACAUCUACAUCUUUAUCCAACCAGCAUGGAGAAGCAAUUUUAGAUUAUAAUAGAAGGGGAAAAAAAUAUCUAUACACAUACAUACACACACACACACACCCCUGUGUUUUACCAGCUUUUUAAAAGGAUCAUUUUAGGUGUACAGAGAGGAGAGCAGCGUUCCUACAUAGAUCUAGUUCCUGCAUGGGACAGCCCUUGGUCUCCUCUGUUAAUAUCAUACAUUCCUCGGUGCACUUGUCAGAUCAAUGAGCCAGUGUUAGCACACUAUUAACUAAAGUCAAUACUUUAUUAGAAUCUGCCUUGUUUUUAUUUAAUGUACCGCUUCUGUCUCAGGAUCCCACCCAGGAUCUCAUCCUUUAAACCAACAAGCUCUGGUUUUAAAAAAGACGCAGAGUUAAAUACCUGUCACUCCCUGCUUGCUCCCUGCAUCCACGCUGCCGGCCUGAACUUCUCCAGCUCCGGAAAAGCAGCUUCAUUUGUGAGCAAGACCCACCUCCAGGGGCUUCAGUGCUGAUGCUCUCUGGCUUAGUUGUUCAAACUGUUGAGAAGGGUGACUGUUCAGUGCCACUUCAGACCCUCUCAGUCAUUUCAAUUACCUUUCUGAACCUGGAGAAAUUCUGUAGAUAGAUUUUGUUUCUGGGGCUUCAGAAAAAGGAUGGUGACCUGGGCUACGUAGGUAAGACCCUGCUCAGACUUGUGUUGGUGGCAGCCAGCUGGAAGGCACUGCUCUGUCACAGAAGAGAAGGACAGCCUAAUCGGUUGAGGACUAAACAGCAGCAAGAUAGAAUUCCUGGAAUGUUGCUACUGGCAUCACUGUGUAGAAGAGCAUUGCCUGUUUGUAAGUUU
Molecule: long non-coding RNA, 1807 nt
Organism: Erinaceus europaeus (western European hedgehog)
Lineage: Eukaryota; Metazoa; Chordata; Mammalia; Eulipotyphla; Erinaceidae
Exons: 2
Source: RefSeq, a predicted model, not a curated record